GGGCCGUUAGCUCAGUUGGUAGAGCAGCUGACUCUUAAUCAGCGGGCCGUUGGUUCGAGUCCAACACGGCCCACCA
Molecule: transfer RNA, 76 nt
Filed under: Mariprofundus ferrooxydans
Lineage: Bacteria; Pseudomonadati; Pseudomonadota; Candidatius Mariprofundia; Mariprofundales; Mariprofundaceae
Also listed under: 2 other names
Description: tRNA-Lys
Rfam family: tRNA
About the family: Transfer RNA (tRNA) molecules are approximately 80 nucleotides in length.
Source: RNAcentral